AACAUAUGACUAACAUUUAGUCUGCGGCUGCACCUAGUAACAUUAGGCUGCCUACGUACCCUUAUUGAGGGAUCAAGCCACACGUACACAUAGGCAAUACCUUUAUUUAUUUCUCUGUAUUUCACAUUAUCUCCCCAUACGCAGGUACUACCAACGCCACGUAUGGGGUCUGUCAACACGCCGGAUAACAUACGCUACGUGCGACCUCACCAUAAUAUCACAUAUCUCCCCACACGCCGGUACAACCAACGCCACGUAUGAGGUCUGUCUCAACGCCGGAUAACCUAUGCCACGCGAGACCUCAACAUCAUAUAACAAUAUCUCCCCAUAUGCCAGUACAACCAACGCCACGUAUGGGGUCUGUCAACACGCCUGAUAACCUACGCCACGUGCGACCCCACUAUAAUAUCACAUAUCUCCCCAUACGCCGGUACAACCAACGCCACGUAUAGGGUAUGUCUCAACGCCGGAUAACCUACGUCACGUGAGACCUCAACAUCAUAUAACAAUAUCUCCCCAUACGCCGGUACAACCAACGCCACGUAUGGGGUCUAUCAACACGUCGGAUAACCUACGCCACGUGCGAUCUCACCAUAAUAUCACAUAUCUUCCUAUACGCCGGUACAACCAACGCCACGUAUGGGGUCUGUCUCAACGCCGGAUAACCUACGCCACGUGAAACUUCAACAUCAUAUCACAUAUCUCCCCAUGCGCUGGUACAACCAACGCCACGUAUGGGGUCUGUCGACAUGCCGG
This 756-nucleotide long non-coding RNA is filed under the name Prunus persica (peach). RNAcentral's name for it is "long non-coding RNA (PPER_LNC006624)". Lineage: Eukaryota; Viridiplantae; Streptophyta; Magnoliopsida; Rosales; Rosaceae. The record is from RNAcentral.